GAUAUCCCAUUAAUAAUCGAAAUAUAUUAAUGGGAUAUCAUAUGAUAUCUUAAGAUAUUUUACGAUAUUUUAAAAUAUUUUUGUAGGAUAUCCCGGGAGCUACUAAUUGAGAUGUCCGUGGGAUCGCCCUCGUCUGUCUAGGAUAAUUUGGGAUAUCCUCAGAAUAAAGUGUGCUGUGUGGGAUGUUUAAAACCAUCUUAAGUACAGUCUUAAGAUGCCAUCAACCAAUCACAGAGCCGUAUUAGCAUCUUAAGACAUUACUUGAUCUUAAAAUAAGAUUCGACUAUGAAUCUUAUUCAAACCGACUGUGCGCGCUACAACGACUGCCGACGACAACCGCGCGCGCUAGAAACCGGGACUGCUCAGAACUGAGCGCAAAGUACGGGUUGCGCGAAACCGAAGAUUCGCUGGAGGGAAAGGCGAACGCGCACACAAGAAUGAAAAAAAAAGAGCAAAGUUGUGCAACAAGGAUUACGUUUAUUCGGCUUACAAACACAAACAAGAUCACAAUUGAUUUAAGUUUGAAACAGCGCGGAAGAGCGGAUAAUUAACCGGACGGUCGGAAUCUUCUUAAAGUACGGUAGCGAUCUGCCAACCAUCAAAGAUAUUCGUCAUUCGGAAAAGAAUAUCAAGAAAGAGCAAGCAGCUGAUCAACUCGGCACCUCACGCGAUCACGGCGUGUACGUGAAACUCACGGGUCCACGCUCCGGGUAAGGAGCCAAAAUCCAUAAAAAACUAGGGGAGAAUGUUGGCAAUGAUGGAAAAUCUCUAGAAUCCAUAAAUUUAUUUCUGAAGUUGACAACACUGUGGUGCUUUCGGGAGUAGCAUGGGAUGCGUGUAGUGCAGAACCGUGAUUGUGACAGAUGGUGUAUGAAAGACCAAAAUAACCUCGCGGAGAUGACAGGUCAGCAAGACGCAGGUUAGUGCUAAAUAUUAAACUUUAAUGAGAUUAUUAAUUUAGGAUCUUUACAAUACGAGUUACUGUAAACUGUCUUUGCUGUUUAAUUCUGACUGCAUUUACUAUGUAAAGAUUAUCUUUCUUAUAAAAUUAUGUGAUAUUUACUACAUGUUUACUUUAAUAAUUAAAUAAAUAAAGAAAUAAAACCAAAGUUGUAUUUAUUAAUUAAUUUAACACUAAAGUCAUUUGUGUCGUAAAGAUUCUAAAUUAAUAAUCUCAGAUCAGUCUUUCUAUAAUAGUAUUGAUUAUAUUACAAUGUGAAAUAAUAUUAUUAUUACCAAAAUACCAAAAAUAAUAUAGAAUUAUUAUUAUUUCUUAAGAGAUAUAAACGUAUAAAUCCUUUUUUGUAAUGAUUUAAUGAUUGUAUAGAUCCAUCAAAAA
Molecule: long non-coding RNA, 1339 nt
Organism: Monomorium pharaonis (pharaoh ant)
Lineage: Eukaryota; Metazoa; Arthropoda; Insecta; Hymenoptera; Formicidae
Exons: 2
Source: RefSeq, a predicted model, not a curated record